Molecule: ribosomal RNA, 3607 nt
Filed under: Corynespora cassiicola UM 591
Lineage: Eukaryota; Fungi; Ascomycota; Dothideomycetes; Pleosporales; Corynesporascaceae
Description: eukaryotic LSU rRNA
Rfam family: Eukaryotic large subunit ribosomal RNA
Source: RNAcentral
ACUUUCAACAACAGAUCUCUUAGUUCUAGCAUUAAUAAAGAACGCAGCGAAAUGCGAUAAGUAGUGUGAAUUGCAGAAUUUAGUGAAUCAUUAAAUCUUUAAACGCACAUUGCGCCCUUUAGUAUUUCUUAAAGCAUACCUGUUCAAGCGUCAUUUCAACCCUCAAGCCUAGCUUAGUGUUAGGCGUCUGUCCCGCCUCCGCGCGCCUAGACUCGCCUUAAAAGCAUUAGCGGCCAGUUCCUAGCAGGCUACAAGCGCAGCAGAGCAAGCGCUAAAGUGGCUGCGGGUCAGCGCACCAUAAGCCCCCCUAUACCAGAAUUUUAACCUCAGAUCAGGUAAAAAUACCCGCUGAACUUAAGCAUAUUAAUAAGCAGAGAAAAAGAAACUAACAGAGAUUACUCUAGUAACGGCGAGUGAAGCGGCAACAGCUCAAAUUUAAAAUCUGGCCCCCUAAAAGGUCCGAGUUGUAAUUUGCAGAGGGUGCUUUAGCAUUAGCAGCGGUCUAAGUUCUUUAGAACAGAACGUUACAGAGAGUAAGAAUCCCGUACGUAGUCGCCAGCCUUCGCCGUGUAAAGCCCCUUUAACAAGUUAAAUUGUUUAGAAAUGCAGCUCUAAAUAGAAGGUAAAUUUCUUCUAAAGCUAAAUACUAGCCAGAGACCGAUAGCGCACAAGUAGAGUGAUCGAAAGAUAAAAAGCACUUUAGAAAAAAAGUCAAAAAGCACGUAAAAUUAUUAAAAGGAAAGCGCUUACAGCCAGACUUACCUGUAGUUGCUUAGCCAGGCUCCAGCCCGGUACACUCUUCUGCGGGCAGGCCAGCAUCAGUUCAAACAGCCGGAUAAAAACCUCUGUCACGUACCUCCCUCCAGAAAAGACUUAUAAGAGAAGUGAAAUGCGGCCAGUCCGGACUAAAGUCUGCGCAUCUGCUAGAAUACUGGCGUAAUAGCUGUAAGCAGCCCGUCUUGAAACACGGACCAAGAAGUCUAACAUCUAUACAAGUGUUUAGGUGUCAAGCCCGAGCGCGUAAUAAAAGUAAACAGAGGUGGGAACCCCUCAGGGUGCACUAUUAACCGAUCCUAAUGUCUUCAGAUGGAUUUAAGUAAGAGCAUAGCUGUUAGAACCCAAAAGAUAGUGAACUAUGCUUGAAUAGAGUGAAACCAGAAGAAACUCUAGUAGAGGCUCGCAGCGGUUCUGACGUGCAAAUUAAUUGUUAAAUUUGGGCAUAAGGGCGAAAGACUAAUCGAACUAUCUAGUAGCUAGUUCCUGCCGAAGUUUCCCUCAGAAUAGCAGUAACGUUUUCAGUUUUAUGAGAUAAAACGAAUGAUUAGAGGCCUAGGGGUUAAAACAACCUUCACCUAUUCUCAAACUUUAAAUAUAUAAGAAGUCCUUGUUACUUAAUUAAACGUGAACAUUUAAAUGUACCGUUACUAGUAGGCCAUUUUUAGUAAGCAGAACUGGCGAUGCGGGAUGAACCAAACGCGGGGUUAAGGUGCCAGAAUGCACGCUCAUCAGACACCACAAAAGGUGUUAGUUCAUCUAAACAGCAGGACGGUAGCCAUAGAAGUCGGAAUCCGCUAAAAAGUGUGUAACAACUCACCUGCCAAAUAAACUAGCCCUAAAAAUAAAUAGCGCUUAAGCGUGUUACCUAUACCCCGCCGCCAGAGCAGAAAUUAUACUCUAGCAAGUAGGCAGGCGUAGAGGCUUGUGACGAAGCCUUAGAGGUGACCCCAAAUAGAACAGCCUCUAGUGCAGAUCUUGGUAGUAGUAGCAAAUACUUAAAUAAGAACUUUAAGGACUAAAGUAAGAAAAAGUUCCGUGUAAACAGCAGUUGGACACGGGUUAGUCAAUCCUAAAAAAUAGAGAAACUCCGUUUUAAUGUCGGCGCUUGCGCCGCACCUUUAAAAAAAAAGCUAGUUAAUAUUCUAGCACCUAGAUGUGGAUUCUCCGCAGCAACGCAACUGAGAGCGGAGACCUUAGCAGAAGCCCUAAAAAAAGUUCUCUUUUCUUCUUAACAGUCUGUCACCCUGAAAUCGGUUUGUUUAGAGCUAGAGUUUAAUAGCCGGAAGAGCGCCGCACUUUUGUAGCGUUUAGUGCGCUCCUGACAAGCCUUAAAAAUCUGCUUAAAAAAAUAGUUUUCACGCUAGGUUGUACUUAUAACCGCAGCAGGUCUCUAAGGUAAAAAGCCUCUAGUUAAUAGAAUAAUGUAGAUAAGAAAAGUCGGCAAAAUAGAUCCGUAACUUUAGAAAAAAAAUUAGCUCUAAGGGUUAGGCACGUUAAGCCUUAAAGAGAAGCCCCCAGCGCAGAUUAGCACUAGCCGCAAGGCGGGCGCCUUUCAGCGCUGGGCGGCGGGCACCUUUAGCAGGCUUCAGCCGUCCGGCGUACACUUAACAACCAACUUAGAACUAGUACAGAUAAGAGAAAUCUAACUGUCUAAUUAAAACAUAGCAUUGCAAUAGCUAGAAAGUAGUGUUGACGCAAUGUGAUUUCUGCCCAGUGCUCUAAAUGUCAAAGCGAAAAAAUUCGACUAAGCGCGGGUAAACGGCAGGAGUAACUAUAACUCUUUUAAAGUAGCCAAAUGCCUUAUCAUCUAAUUAGUAACGCGCAUAAAUAGAUUAACGAGAUUCCCACUGUCCCUAUCUACUAUCUAGCGAAACCACAGCCAAGGGAACGGGCUUAGCAAAAUUAGCGGGGAAAAAAAACCCUGUUAAGCUUAACUCUAGUUUAACAUUAUAAAAAGACAUAAAAAGUGUAGAAUAGGUGGGAGCUUCGGCGCCGGUGAAAUACCACUACCCUUAUCGUUUUUUUACUUAUUCAAUAAAGCGGAGCUGGGUCUCACUGCCCAACUUCUAACGUAAAGAUCCUUUAUAGGCCGAUCCGGGUUAAAAACAUUAUCAAGUAAAGAGUUUAGCUAGAGCGGCAUAUCUGUUAAACUAUAACGCAGGUGUCCUAAAAAGAACUUAUAGAGAACAGAAAUCUCCAGUAGAGCAAAAAAGCAAAAGUCCCCUUAAUUUUAAUUUUCAGUGUGAAUACAAACCAUAAAAGUGUGGCCUAUCAAUCCUUUAGUCCCUCAAAAUUUAAGGCUAGAGGUGCCAGAAAAGUUACCACAGGAAUAACUGGCUUAUAGCAGCUAAGCGUUUAUAGCGACGUUGCUUUUUAAUCCUUCAAUAUCAGCUCUUUCUAUUAUACCGAAGCAGAAUUCGGUAAGCGUUAGAUUGUUCACCCACUAAUAGAGAACGUAAGCUAGAUUUAGACCGUCGUGAGACAGGUUAGUUUUACUCUACUAAUAACCUUGCUCUAAUAGUAAUUCCGCUUAGUACGAGAGGAACCGCGGAUUUAGAUAAUUAGUUUUUACGGCUGUCUGACCAGGCAUUGCCGCAAAGCUACUAUCUGCUAAAUUAUAGCUAAACGCCUCUAAGUCAGAAUCUAUACCAGAACGGGGUAAAUACCGCCUGCACAUUAGAGUCGGAUACAAAUAGGCCUUUAGCUCUGAACCUCAGCAGGCCGGCAACGGCAGUCCCGUAGAAGUCGGGGCUGCUAGCCAGCGUAUUAUAAUUUUACAGUGCGUAAAAUUAAAUUUUUUGCAGACGAUUUAGUUAUCUAGUCAGGUUGU